Molecule: unclassified non-coding RNA, 248 nt
Filed under: Hevea brasiliensis (rubber tree)
Lineage: Eukaryota; Viridiplantae; Streptophyta; Magnoliopsida; Malpighiales; Euphorbiaceae
Source: RNAcentral
CUGCACGCCAUCGUCGACCAGUGUGUCGGUAAUGGCAUCAAGCGAAAUGCCGCUUUUCGCAAGGUCUGCCAGAACACGCUCGGCGUCAGGAAUGUUCUGCUCAAGGCUGUCGCGCGGCUUGCCGUGAUCGCGGAAGGCAUCGAGGGUCGCGGGCGGCACGGUGUUCACCGUAUCGCGUCCAAUCAGUUCCUCGACAUACAGUACGUCGCUGUAAGCCUUGUUCUUGGUGCCGGUCGAGGCCCAGAGCA